ACGGGUGAGUAACGCGUGGGGAACCUGCCCUGUACAGGGGGAUAACACUUAGAAAUAGGUGCUAAUACCGCAUAAGCGCACAGUAUCGCAUGAUACAGUGUGAAAAACUCCGGUGGUACAGGAUGGACCCGCGUCUGAUUAGCUGGUUGGCGGGGUAACGGCCCACCAAGGCGACGAUCAGUAGCCGGCCUGAGAGGGUGAACGGCCACAUUGGGACUGAGACACGGCCCAAACUCCUACGGAAGGCAGCAG
RNAcentral lists this ribosomal RNA (252 nucleotides) under uncultured bacterium. RNAcentral describes it as "partial 16S ribosomal RNA". It matches the Rfam family "Bacterial small subunit ribosomal RNA", at positions 102 to 354 of the family's 1533-position model. The record is from RNAcentral.